UACGUAGGUCCCGAGCGUUGUCCGGAUUUAUUGGGCGUGAAGCGAGCGCAGGUGGUUUAUUAAGUCUGGUGUAAAAGGCAGUGGCUCAACCAUUGUAUGCAUUGGAAACUGGUAGACUUGAGUGUAGGAGAGGAGAGUGGAAUUCCAUGUGUAGCGGUGAAAUGCGUAGAUAUAUGGAGGAACACCGGUGGCGAAAGCGGCUCUCUGGCCUGUAACUGACACUGAGGCUCGAAAGCGUGGGGAGCAAACAGG
RNAcentral lists this ribosomal RNA (252 nucleotides) under uncultured bacterium. RNAcentral describes it as "partial 16S ribosomal RNA". It matches the Rfam family "Bacterial small subunit ribosomal RNA", at positions 524 to 776 of the family's 1533-position model. The record is from RNAcentral.